Molecule: ribosomal RNA, 253 nt
Filed under: uncultured bacterium
Lineage: Bacteria
Description: partial 16S ribosomal RNA
Rfam family: Bacterial small subunit ribosomal RNA
Source: RNAcentral
UACGUAGGGUGCAAGCGUUGUCCGGAAUUAUUGGGCGUAAAGAGCUCGUAGGCGGUUUGUCGCGUCUGCUGUGAAAACUCGGGGCUUAACCCCGGGCCUACAGUGGGUACGGGCAGACUAGAGUGCGGUAGGGGAGACUGGAAUUCCUGGUGUAGCGGUGAAAUGCGCAGAUAUCAGGAGGAACACCGGUGGCGAAGGCGGGUCUCUGGGCCGAUACUGACGCUGAGGAGCGAAAGCGUGGGGAGCGAACAGG